RNAcentral lists this ribosomal RNA (3185 nucleotides) under Polycystine-like environmental clone HA2. RNAcentral describes it as "eukaryotic LSU rRNA". It matches the Rfam family "Eukaryotic large subunit ribosomal RNA". The record is from RNAcentral. Lineage: Eukaryota; Polycystinea.
UGUACUGCGCUGGACCUGGGAUUCAGGCUCUGUCGCGGUGUCGAAAGGGUACUCUUUGAGCCAACUUUUCGUAACCGUUCCUGUUUGAACCUAACUCAGUUCGUAGACAUUAGCGAGGGGGAGUUGAACCAACACACCCACUUUCUACACAUGAGCUCAACUCUGUGCAAGACUACCCGCCGAAUUUAAGCAUAUUAUUAAGCGGAGGAAAAGAAACUAACAAGGAUGGCCCUAGUAACGGCGAGUGAAGCGGUCACAGCUUAAUCAAUAAUCCUGCCCUAUCUUUGGGCUUGGAAUUGUAGUCUUGGCUUCUGAAUGGCGCUGGCUGACGGGUAAUUCGAUGGAAAUCGAGGUCAAAGAGGGUGACAACCCCGUUUCUCUGUCGGCGCGGCGCUAUAUUCAGUUGUCUACCGAGUAGCGUUCCUUGGGAAUGGAGCGUGAAGCAGGUGGUGAUAUCCAUCUAAAGCUAAAUAUUGGCGAGAGACCGAUAGCGAACAAGUACCGUGAGGGAAAGAUGAAAAGCACUUUGGAGAGAGAGUUAAACAGUAUGCGAAAUCGUUGGAAGCAAGCGAAUCAGUGGGUUUGAGCACCGUUAUGCNGCGUCGAGUACUCUGUUGCCAUUGAGGGCCUAGCGGCCUUUGUGGCGGCUUGCCAGCACUCGGCCGUGUGAUGAGGUUUUGGUGCUCCGCUUCGGCGAGCCUGCCUGGAUCCGACCCGUCUUGAAACACGGACCAAGGAGUCUAAUAUGUGUGCGAGUAUUCGAGUAAUUGAAACUCCAAUGCGAAGGUAACUCAAAUCGCGUUAGCCCUUCUGGGCGCAUCGCGGGUAGUGUGUCUUCCCUAACAAGAGCACGUAUGUUGGGACCCGAAAGAUGGUGAACUAUGCUUGUGCAGAGCGAAGUCACGGGAAACCGUGAUGGAAGCUCGAAGCGAUACUGACGUGCAAAUCGUUCGUCUGACAUGAGUAUAGGGGCGAAAGACUAAUCGAACCAUCUAGUAGCUGGUUCCCUCCGAAGUUUCCCUCAGGAUAGCUGGAAUCCGAUAUGAGUUACAUGAGGUAAAGCGAAUGAUUAGAGUUCUUGGGGUUGAAACAAUCUCAUUCUAUUCUCAAACUUUAAAUGGGUGUGACGCGGGACUUUCUUAAUUGAAGUGCUGCAUUGAAUCUGGGUUCUUAGUGGGCCAUUUUUGGUAAGCAGAACUGGCGAUGUGGGAUGCUCCAGACGCUCGGAUAAGGUGCCAAAGUACUCGCUCAUUCAGAUACCAUAAAGGGCGUUGAUUGAUUUAGACAGCAGGACGAUGGUCAUGGAAGUUGAAAUUCGCUAAGGAGUGUGUAACAACUCACCUGCCGAAUCAAUUAGCCCCGAAAAUGGAUGGCGCUCAAGCGAGUCACCGAAACCGGGCCUUCGCACUUCUUGACAUAAUGUGCGAAGAGUAGGAGGGCGCGGCGGUUGCGUCAAAGCUUAUGGCGUGAGCCUGAGUGAAGCAGCCGCGGGUGCAGAUCUUGGUGUUAGUAGCAAAUAUUCAUAUGAGAACUAUGAAGACCGAAGUGGAGAAAGGUUCCAUGUCACAUCAAAUUGGACAUGGGUUAGUCGGUCUUAAGGCAAGCCGUAUGGGUUUUCUAUGGCGCCCCUGCGCCGCCUUUGCCAAAAGGGAAUCAGGUUAAUAUUCCUGAACCGCAUGUUGUGGCGUAAAACGGUAACGUAAACGAACCUGGUCACCGUGGCCAAAAUCCCGACAAGAGAUUUCUUUUCUUGUUAACAGCGCCUUGACCCUGGAAUGAGUUUGCCUCGAGAUGGGGUUAAGUCGCGGGAAAAGCAGCGCGCCUUUCGCGCUGUUCGGUGCAUUUUGGACGCGCCUUGAAAAGCCAGGGGAGUGUAUGCGAUCACAUCGUGGCCGUACUCAUAACCGCAUCAGGUCUCCAAGGUUAAAAGCCUCUGGUCAAUAGAACAAUGUAGGUAAGGGAAGUCGGCAAAUUGGUUCCGUAAGUUUGCGAUAAGGAAUGGCUCAUUAGGCUGGGCUGUUGGGCUCUUGUAUGACGUCGUGGUGGCCCUAGGACUGCUGACUGCUCUCACGAGCGGACGGACGGUCCAUGGGCUCUUGCGUCUGACGACAGGAGGUUGGGCCUUCGGGUCCAUAUCCAGCAGCGAUGAACAGCUAAUAGUGAACUGGAGCUGACCACAGGAACCCGACUGUUUAAUUAAAACAAAGCAUUGUGAAGGUCCCAACGGAUGUUGAUACAAUGUGAUUUCUGCCCAGUGCUCUGAAUGUCAAAGUGAAGAGAUUCAACCAAGCGCGGGUAAACGGCGGGAGUAACUAUGACUCUCUUAAGGUAGCCAAAUGCCUCGUCAUCUAAUUAGUGACGCGCAUGAAUGGAUCAACGAGGUUCCUACUGGUCCUAUCUACUAUCUAGCGAAACCACCGCCAAGGGAACGGGCUUGGGAGUAACGGCGGGGAAAGAAGACCCUGGUGAACUUGACUCUAGUCUGACAUUGUGAAGGGGAAUUGGCGGGGUAAAAAAGUGGGAACGUAAGCCCCAGGGAAAUACCACUACGUCGAAUGCCGCUUUAUUAAAUAUUGAGAAAGGGCCAACCCCCGGGAAUUGUCUCAGGGGUAAACCUUGUUUACAGGGCAACCUUUUUUGGGAACCCUUCGGGGGGGGAAGUUUGGCUGGGGCGGCACAUCUGUUAAAUGAUAACACAGGUGACCUAAGAUCAGCUCAAUGCGAACAGAAAUCGCCUGUGGAGCUUAAGGGCAAAAGCUGAUUUGACUUUGAUUUUCAGUAUGAAUCAGAGCACUGAAAGGUCUGGCCUAACGAUCCUUUGGAUUUUCGGAUAUCGAAGCCAGAGGUGUCAGAAAAGUUACCACAGGGAUAACUGGCCUGUGGCGGCCAAGCGUUCAUAGCGACGUCGCUUUUUGAUUCUUCGAUGUCGGCUCUUCCUACCCCUAUCUUGCACAAGGGAUAAAAGGUAAGAUUGUUCACCUUCUAAUAGGGAACGUGAGCUGGGUUUAGACCGUCGCGAGACAGGUUAGUUUUAUCCUACUGUUACAUUUGUCACGCCUAUAGUACGCUCAUUUAGUACGAGAGGAACCGUAAGCGCGCAUAUCCGGUACAUUGGGUUGGUCGAGAGACCAAUGCCCAGAAGCUGCCAUGCGAGGGAUAACAGCUGAACGCCUCUAAGUCAGAAA